RNAcentral lists this transfer RNA (77 nucleotides) under Alphaproteobacteria bacterium MarineAlpha6_Bin5. Its description in RNAcentral is "tRNA-Met". It matches the Rfam family "tRNA". From Rfam's summary of the family: Transfer RNA (tRNA) molecules are approximately 80 nucleotides in length. Their secondary structure includes four short double-helical elements and three loops (D, anti-codon, and T loops). RNAcentral also lists the same sequence under 2 other names. The record is from RNAcentral. Lineage: Bacteria; Pseudomonadati; Pseudomonadota; Alphaproteobacteria.
CGCGGGGUGGAGCAGCCCGGUAGCUCGUCAGGCUCAUAACCUGAAGGUCGUAGGUUCAAAUCCUACCCCCGCUACCA